ACGAACGCUGGCGGCGUGCUUAACCCAUGCGAGUCGAACGGUGAAGCCCCAGCUUGCUGGAGUGGAUCAGUGGCGAACGGGGGAGUAACACGUGAGCAACCUGCCCCUGACUCUGGAAUAAGCGCUGGAAACGGCGUCUAAUACUGGAUACGAGAAGGGUCCGCAUGGGCACUUUCUGGAAAGCUUUUCGGUUGGGGACUGGCUCGCGGCCUAUCAGCUUGUUGGUGAGGUAAUGGCUCACCAAGGCGACGACGGGUAGCCGGCCUGAGAGGGCGACCGGCCACACUGUGACUGAGACACGGCCCAGACUCCUACGGGAGGCAGCAGUGGGGAAUAUUGCACAAUGGGCGAAAGCCUGAUGCAGCGACGCCGCGUGAGGGAUGACGGCCUUCGGGUUGUAAACCUCUUUCAGCAGGGAAGAAGCGAAAGUGACGGUACCUGCAGAAGAAGCACCGGCUAACUACGUG
This 467-nucleotide ribosomal RNA is filed under the name uncultured bacterium. RNAcentral describes it as "partial 16S ribosomal RNA". It matches the Rfam family "Bacterial small subunit ribosomal RNA", at positions 29 to 507 of the family's 1533-position model. The record is from RNAcentral.